UCUCAAUAAAAGAGAAGAAGUCCAUCACAAAAUCAUGAAUUUUACUACUAAAGUUUUAGGGGUAAUUUUUCUUAUAAGUUUAAUUUUUCUAACAAAUAUUGAAGCUAUCGAUGAGCUCGCACAAGUAUCUUGUGAAAGAAAGUGUCGAGCAUGGUGUGUUUUCGAUCUUUGCUUUCAAAAUUGUUUGAAAAAAAAAUGUCAUGUGGUUCCUCCUAGUUCUUCAAAAGCAUCGAAUUGUCAACGUACUUGUUCAGUUCAUCGUUGCUCUAAAUUUAAAGAAGAUGUAAAGCUAAUGGGAAAUUGCUUGGAUGAAUGUUCAACAAAAUAUUGCACCUAGGGUUAAUUCCAUGUAAUGUUACACAAGCUACUUGUGUUGAAAAAGCAAAGUAAUGCAAAUAAAAAAAAAAUGCAAUCUUGAUGAUUAACAAUGUAAAUCAAGAUUUAUAUUUUAAUGAAAAAAAGUACUUUUGAUAA
Capsicum annuum is the source of this 474-nucleotide long non-coding RNA. RefSeq lists it as uncharacterized. Lineage: Eukaryota; Viridiplantae; Streptophyta; Magnoliopsida; Solanales; Solanaceae. The transcript is spliced from 2 exons. The record is from RefSeq and is a predicted model, not a curated record.